GAUCUUCCACAAUGGGCGAAAGCCUGAUGGAGCGACGCCGCGUGAGGGAUGAAGGUCUUCGGAUCGUAAACCUCUGUCUUCCGGGACGAUAAUGACGGUACCGGAGGAGGAAGCCACGGCUAACUACGUGCCAGCAGCCGCGGUAAUACGUAGGUGGCAAGCGUUGUCCGGAAUUACUGGGCGUAAAGGGUGCGUAGGCGGUGCCUUAAGUCUCGUGUGAAACCUAUCGGCUUAACCGUGGGAUUGCAUUUGAAACUGGAGGGCUUGAGUGUCGGAGAGGGUAGUGGAAUUCCCAGUGUAGCGGUGAAAUGCGUAGAUAUUGGGAGGAACACCAGUGGCGAAGGCGACUACCUGGACGAUAACUGACGCUGAGGCACGAAAGCUAGGGGAGCAAAC
RNAcentral lists this ribosomal RNA (396 nucleotides) under uncultured bacterium. Its description in RNAcentral is "partial 16S ribosomal RNA". It matches the Rfam family "Bacterial small subunit ribosomal RNA", at positions 359 to 773 of the family's 1533-position model. The record is from RNAcentral.